GUGGAAGUAGCCAUCUCUUGUAAAAAUCUUGAUAUGUUUCACUUCGUUAUUGUACUUAAUGCUAAUCGCAUAUUCUCCUGACUCUUUAGUCCUGUGUCGCACCAGAUAAGUGCUAUUUACUCUGUUAAUAAGUUCACUCUCUGCUUGCAAUCUUUCCAUUGCUCCUGCAAACCACAGUUGUGACGAGUAGUCAACUGGUUUAGGAACACAAGGGCUGGGCUUCACUGCAUCACUUGGGAAGAAGCCAAGUUCUCCUGUCGUUAAAUUUCUGCCCUGCCAAAAUAAGCUAUGAACAUCGCCUGUAAUCAGUUCAAUAGUGUCCCCAAUCUGGAUAUGCAAAGGUGGACCAUCCUGUGGCGUUGGUUGUGGUAUUCCUUUGUAAUUUCGAAUUACUUGCAUUCUUGGUAAACCUGAAUUUAAGGAAAAAAGGAGAAAAAAAAUCAGCAUACGUAUUCCAAUUAACAAGAAUUUAUGAAAUCUUAGGACCAUAAAACCAAUUAAUCAAAAAGACACACUGCGUUUAAUAGGCAUCUGACUAAGGCAUAAAGGCAGACAUUUCUUUCAUUUGGUUGUCUUAUGUAAACAUAUCACAAAAUCUGAACAUUUCUC
This 609-nucleotide long non-coding RNA is filed under the name Gallus gallus (chicken). Lineage: Eukaryota; Metazoa; Chordata; Aves; Galliformes; Phasianidae. The record is from RNAcentral.